Molecule: long non-coding RNA, 152 nt
Organism: Gopherus evgoodei (Goodes thornscrub tortoise)
Lineage: Eukaryota; Metazoa; Chordata; Testudines; Testudinidae
Exons: 3
Source: RefSeq, a predicted model, not a curated record
GGUCCUUUUGGUCAGGUGCCCCACCUCCUCAUCUGAGCUUCUUAACCCUUUAUAGGUAAAAGAAGAAUUGACCCUUUAUAGGGUAAAAAGGGAUUUUAUGCUACCCUUAGCUGUACGCUUAUGACAGGGACAAACACACUCCAAACCACAGA